Molecule: non-coding RNA, 45 nt
Filed under: Schistosoma mansoni
Lineage: Eukaryota; Metazoa; Platyhelminthes; Trematoda; Strigeidida; Schistosomatidae
Source: RNAcentral
AUCUAGCUGAAGAGUCCCAAAUAAGACAAAACAUGCGUUCUAGAU